AACGGCGAGGGCAACGCGUGGAGAUACGUAAUCGGGCCUCCAGGGUUCCGUAACCGUACACUUUCAUCGGGUACCGGAGGCCCCGAGAAAAUUAUCACCGUCGGCGCUGUCAUCAAUAUGGAGGACGCAACGGAAGGGAAUACUGUUCGUUCUGCUACGUGCUGCUGAUAACUCACCGAUGUUUCACGUUCCUCUCACGGCCGGCGUAUGCUGAUCCUCUCGGAUAUCGCUGAAAAUCGUCUUUCCUCACACGUGUUCGUGUUUCCACGUCGCGCUGGACUCCUUUGCAACACGAAACCUCGAAAUAUUCCCUUACCUCAUAAAGCCGAGAACGUUCGUGUGAGGGCGUUGUGUAAGACGCGGAGGACAAUAUGGCCGAAUCGAACUACGAAUGUUCAAAUGCUGCGCGUUGGUAGCUGCGCACUAGGACGCGUCACUCGUCAUGUUUACACCGGACGACCGUCGUUUUACUCACUUCCGGGCGUUAAACUAAACCCACCUUCGCUCUUGCCAAUUCACUUUUUCCAUUAUCGUCCAUCGGACCUUCGUCUACCAUACCGCGGUUCUGAUCGCCGGAGCCUCGAAAUCCUUCAAUUUCUGAAUCCUUUCGAAUACGGUCCAACAACUGUCCUCGUAUACGCAUGAGUAGAAUACAUUCCAACGAAACAAAAAAGAUGCAGUUCUGUACGAAAAGAGCGGGAAAAAUGCACCUCGGGAAGGGGAAACUAUUAAAAAGUGGGGGAGACCAACACCCAUUUACAUAGGUGAAAUUAUUGUUGCUUUUUCCUAAGUGGUUACUAAACGACUGACGUACAUCACCGAAAUAAGUACGUUGAUCAGUCGAGCGUUUCCUAUGUAUUUACAAAUCUUCCUAUCAAAUUAUCUGUGCAAAUCUCUGAUUACUCAGUAUUUAUUUAAUGUAUAUAUAUGUACAUACUAUAAAAAAACUUUUAUUUUUUAAUAUCUACGUGUUCUCGGUUGCAUUAAGAUAAAAUGCACGUACGUGGUGUAUAAGGGAAAAAAUAAACUGUUCACAUUAAAUAUAAA
Molecule: long non-coding RNA, 1047 nt
Organism: Ceratina calcarata
Lineage: Eukaryota; Metazoa; Arthropoda; Insecta; Hymenoptera; Apidae
Exons: 2
Source: RefSeq, a predicted model, not a curated record